AACCCAUGGUGAGGGCACCUUCGUAAUAAGUUCUUGUAGCUCUAUCUCUCCCAUGCAUCAUAAAGAGUUUCUAGGUCAAUCUGCACAAAAGAAGAAAUAUCAUUCCUCAAUUU
RNAcentral lists this small nucleolar RNA (113 nucleotides) under Gossypium barbadense (sea-island cotton). Its description in RNAcentral is "Plant small nucleolar RNA R71". It matches the Rfam family "Plant small nucleolar RNA R71". Rfam says of the family: R71 is a member of the C/D box family of snoRNAs containing the C (UGAUGA) and D (CUGA) box motifs. Multiple nearly identical copies of this snoRNA have been identified in Arabidopsis, and it is thought to function as a 2'-O-ribose methylation guide for 18S ribosomal RNA. The record is from Rfam by way of RNAcentral. Lineage: Eukaryota; Viridiplantae; Streptophyta; Magnoliopsida; Malvales; Malvaceae. RNAcentral also lists the same sequence under 2 other names.